Molecule: ribosomal RNA, 414 nt
Filed under: uncultured bacterium
Lineage: Bacteria
Description: bacterial SSU rRNA
Rfam family: Bacterial small subunit ribosomal RNA
Source: RNAcentral
UCGAGGAUCUUCGGCAAUGGGGGCAACCCUGACCGAGCGACGCCGCGUGUGCGACGAAGGCCUUCGGGUUGUAAAGCACUGUCGAGGGUGAGAAAAGCCCGCAAGGGUUUGAUCUACCCCUGGAGGAAGCACGGGCUAAGUUCGUGCCAGCAGCCGCGGUAAGACGAACCGUGCGAACGUUGUUCGGAAUCACUGGGCUUAAAGGGCGCGUAGGCGGCCCGCCGCGUCCGGGGUGAAAUCCUCCCGCUCAACGGGAGAACGGCCUCGGAUACGGGCGGGCUGGAGGCGGGUAGGGGCACGCGGAACUGUGGGUGGAGCGGUGAAAUGCGUUGAGAUCCACAGGAACUCCGGUGGCGAAGGCGGCGUGCUGGACCCGUCCUGACGCUGAGGCGCGAAAGCCAGGGGAGCGAACGG